GUGGCCAUAUUACGUUAAACUGGUUCUCGUACGAUCCCCAAAGUUAAACAACGUCGAGCCUCAUCAGUACCUAGAUGGGUGACUGCUUGGGAAU
Acanthosepion pharaonis is the source of this 94-nucleotide non-coding RNA. Lineage: Eukaryota; Metazoa; Mollusca; Cephalopoda; Sepiida; Sepiidae. The record is from the annotation of a GenBank genome assembly.